GCAUUGGUGGUUCAGUGGUAGAAUUCUCAUCUUCCAUGUGGGAAAUCUGGAUUCUAUUCCUGGCCAAUGCA
RNAcentral lists this transfer RNA (71 nucleotides) under Loxodonta africana (African savanna elephant). It matches the Rfam family "tRNA". Rfam says of the family: Transfer RNA (tRNA) molecules are approximately 80 nucleotides in length. Their secondary structure includes four short double-helical elements and three loops (D, anti-codon, and T loops). Further hydrogen bonds mediate the characteristic L-shaped molecular structure. tRNAs have two regions of fundamental functional importance: the anti-codon, which is responsible for specific mRNA codon recognition, and the 3' end, to which the tRNAs corresponding amino acid is attached (by aminoacyl-tRNA synthetases). tRNAs cope with the degeneracy of the genetic code in two manners: having more than one tRNA (with a specific anti-codon) for a particular amino acid; and 'wobble' base-pairing, i.e. permitting non-standard base-pairing at the 3rd anti-codon position. The record is from Rfam by way of RNAcentral. Lineage: Eukaryota; Metazoa; Chordata; Mammalia; Proboscidea; Elephantidae.